CUAAAAGGGAGAGGGUUGUGUAGACUCGAGGAAGGAAUUAAACCCCGAACUAACAGAUCAACGAUUUGGUUCAUCCUCCAAUGGAAAAAAGUUGGGAAGUAGGAGAAUCAAAUAGUGGAUUUCUAAAAGGGAAAUGGUUGUGAAGACUCGAGGAAGAAAUAAACACCCGAACUAACAGAACAACGAUUUGGUUCAUCUUCCAAAGGAAAAAAAAAAGUUGGGAAGUUUGUAAACAAUUCUUUUUGUAAACCUGGGAUGUGCUUGUUUGUUUCCCCAUUCCCGACAGUUUUUAUUUUUUGGCUACUUUAUUCCUUGGAGGACCCCAACUGGGGAGAAGUAAGAAGAAGCCAUUUCCACUCUCAAAUAUUCUGCGACCAGAAGUAACUUUGCUGCUGCUGGGGAACGACCACCUAUUUUCCUCUCCUUCCUCCAUCUGGAUGUCAGUCUACAAGCCUGCUGGAGUUGCAGUUUUACAAGGUCUUUGAGUCCCCCUCUGGGUAGAGAAAAGCUGGGUAUAAAUAAGUGUAGAAGAGGCCUAAGGCUCAGGAGACCAUGGUUUGAAUUCCUCACCCAAGGCAAGUCACACUCUCUCAGCCU
Molecule: long non-coding RNA, 597 nt
Filed under: Anolis carolinensis (green anole)
Lineage: Eukaryota; Metazoa; Chordata; Lepidosauria; Squamata; Anolidae
Description: lncRNA (ENSACAG00000040289.1)
Source: RNAcentral